GGGCAACACCCUGUUAGCUCAGUGGUCGAGCGUUGGCUUUGGAAGCCUCAGGUCGGUGGUUCAAUUCCGCCCGGGCGCA
RNAcentral lists this transfer RNA (79 nucleotides) under Phytophthora infestans (potato late blight agent). RNAcentral describes it as "tRNA-Pro". The stretch from base 15 to 71 matches the Rfam family "tRNA", at positions 8 to 63 of the family's 71-position model. From Rfam's summary of the family: Transfer RNA (tRNA) molecules are approximately 80 nucleotides in length. Their secondary structure includes four short double-helical elements and three loops (D, anti-codon, and T loops). Further hydrogen bonds mediate the characteristic L-shaped molecular structure. tRNAs have two regions of fundamental functional importance: the anti-codon, which is responsible for specific mRNA codon recognition, and the 3' end, to which the tRNAs corresponding amino acid is attached (by aminoacyl-tRNA synthetases). tRNAs cope with the degeneracy of the genetic code in two manners: having more than one tRNA (with a specific anti-codon) for a particular amino acid; and 'wobble' base-pairing, i.e. permitting non-standard base-pairing at the 3rd anti-codon position. Lineage: Eukaryota; Oomycota; Peronosporomycetes; Peronosporales; Peronosporaceae. The record is from RNAcentral.